CGCCUUGGAUGUGAGGAGGUUGGAGAUGUAGUCUGCUUUGGUCUCAUGUUUUUAUUCUGCCCAUGUUUUCAUUCUGCCCAUGUUUUCAUUAUACGAAUAUUUCAUCCCAAGUCUGGCCUCACUUGGAUUACAAAAUUACACGAUUUUACUGAAGCUGCUAUAUCCAAUACCAAUGGCAGCCCUAUUGCUUCUUCUUCCCAUUUCAGGCUUAUCAUGUCCCAGAUCUGGGACUCAACUGCUCACUUGGUGCCGUGUGGCAGCUGUCUCUCAGGCAGCUAUGUAGCACGUGGGGACACCUCUCCAGGCCCCUCUCACUGAUGGUGAUAUAUCCAUUUGUCUCCUGUGCUGCCAAAGAAGGCUGCCUUUGGAGAUCUUCUUAAUGAUGUCUGUGCGCAUCUCCAGGUCUUGGGUGCAGGACUAACCUAAGCUAACCACUGAUCCAGAUGCUCUUGGAAUCAGCUGGGAGUUUAUACAUCAGUUCCUUGCUGACAUGCUGUCACAUGCAAAUAGUGAUUUAUGAUGCUAAUGCUCUCUCAACACUUUUCUAAUUUUUUAAUAAAGAUACUUCUGUGAAGUAUUCCACUUCAAGCCCAGCCCAGACUUAUUCAUAUGUUUAAGUUAUAAACAGAGUAAUUGGUGGAGCAACAACUUCAUUAAGUUUAACAGUUUAAUAGACUGGCAUGGCUGAGAAAGAAAACCUUCCUCCUCUGGAGCUAUCCCCAGGUGGGGAGUCAGGAAAGCAGAACACCACAUUAGUAAUCGUUCCACUGAUGUUUUCUCACUACACCAACAUUAUAUUGGUAAGGAAAUUGCAUGCUUCACUCUUUGACAUAGUUAUGGUGAUAAAUUGGGUAUACAGAAGAACUAAUGAUGAAAUUAAAUGGACUUAUGAAUAUACAUAAGAUCUCUUUCCCAAGGUCAGUUCUGGAUGACACAGCAAAGAUACUACAACAACAGGUAAGAUGUGGGCUCAGUCAGUUGUGGGCAGCAUGUUGCUGAAGGUUGGAUGCAAAUGUUUGCUCAGGGGUACAAAGAGAUGGAGGAAGAUACGAGCAUACAAGGCCAUGAUAUGCCCCUCUGCUCUUGAAGGAGCCCUGUUCUUAAUAGGAAAUUUGGCCUGUUGCCACCUUGAUGCUAAAGAAACCCCUGCACCCCUCACAUAAUGUGCUUUGUUAGAAGGCCAUGCAGAACUUGAGAGCUGAGCUCUGGGUGCUGCAGAGACACGUUCUGUGGAGACAUCUAGUGUUCCAAAGGAUGGAGACUUGAGCUUUUUGGAUGCUACUCAGCAAUUCAGGAGGCAGUUCAGUCUACUUGGCCCCAUCCUAAUCUCCUAGGGCAAGUAAUUUGGGUCAACAUUUCAGCGGUGACUGUUGAUUUUUUAUUCCUUUUUUAAGCACCUUUAUGUUUGAUUGUUUAGUUUUGGGCAAUUAAACUGGAUUCAAGCCAAAGCUGCUAACCUCAACUCUUCAAGAAGGGCUCUCUCAAGUAGUAUAUCCCAAAUACAGGACUCGAAAUUGCCGAUUGCUUCUGAAAAGCCUGUCCUUACAUCCUCUGUCUCUCAGUUCUCUGUGGUGCACACAGAGACAACAGUGCUUCUUUUGCCUCCAGGAAUGCUGACGGCAUGGACACAGUUAAAGUAGAAGGGCACUCUCAGACUCAGCAGAUCAAACAAAGUCUUAAAUAGAUUUUUUUUUUUCAGAUUUGAUUCCAUUUCCAAAGUCUCUGUAAUUACUACCAUACAGAAGUCAUACAUCUCUGCAGGUUUUGCCCCACGAGUGGCUCCUAUGUCAUUCCAGAGGAGCUGCA
Long non-coding RNA from Chiroxiphia lanceolata (lance-tailed manakin), 1806 nucleotides. RefSeq lists it as uncharacterized. The transcript is spliced from 3 exons. NCBI's taxonomy places the organism in Eukaryota, Metazoa, Chordata, Aves, Passeriformes, Pipridae. The record is from RefSeq and is a predicted model, not a curated record.